RNAcentral lists this small RNA (112 nucleotides) under Klebsiella pneumoniae subsp. pneumoniae. Its description in RNAcentral is "partial RtT sRNA". It matches the Rfam family "RtT RNA", at positions 43 to 130 of the family's 130-position model. From Rfam's summary of the family: This family represents a bacterial cis-regulatory element known as RtT RNA. The exact function of RtT is unknown although it is thought that it may be involved in changing the cellular response in relation to amino acid starvation. Lineage: Bacteria; Pseudomonadati; Pseudomonadota; Gammaproteobacteria; Enterobacterales; Enterobacteriaceae. The record is from RNAcentral.
ACGACCCACCAAUCGUUCUGGUGGAACGCGAUAGUAAAACGUGAAGGAUAACGUUGCGUCAGCAACGGCCCGUAGGGCGAGGCGAAGCCGAGUCAUCCUGCACGACCCACCG